Molecule: ribosomal RNA, 219 nt
Filed under: uncultured bacterium
Lineage: Bacteria
Description: partial 16S ribosomal RNA
Rfam family: Bacterial small subunit ribosomal RNA
Source: RNAcentral
UAAUACAUCGGAACGUAUCCCGUAUGGGGGAUAGCCCGGCGAAAGCCGGAUUAAUACCGCAUAUGCUCUACGGAGGAAAGUGGGGGAUCGCAAGACCUCACGCUAUGGGAGCGGCCGAUGUCCGAUUAGCUUGUUGGUGGGGUAAUGGCCUACCAAGGCGACGAUCGGUAGCUGGUCUGAGAGGAUGAUCAGCCACACUGGGACUGAGACACGGCCCAG